GAUGAACGCUGGCGGCGUGCCUAAUACAUGCAAGUCGAGCGAACAGACGAGGAGCUUGCUCCUCUGACGUUAGCGGCGGACGGGUGAGUAACACGUGGAUAACCUACCUAUAAGACUGGGAUAACUUCGGGAAACCGGAGCUAAUACCGGAUAAUAUAUUGAACCGCAUGGUUCAAUAGUGAAAGACGGUUUUGCUGUCACUUAUAGAUGGAUCCGCGCCGCAUUAGCUAGUUGGUAAGGUAACGGCUUACCAAGGCGACGAUGCGUAGCCGACCUGAGAGGGUGAUCGGCCACACUGGAACUGAGACACGGUCCAUACUCCUACGGGAGGCAGCAGUAGGGAAUCUUACGCAAUGGGCGAAAGCCUGACGGAGCAACGCCGCGUGAGUGAUGAAGGUCCUCGGAUCGUAAAACUCUGCUAUUAGUGAAGAACAACUGUGUAAGUAACUAUGCCCGUCUUGACGGUAACUAAUCAGAAAGCCACGGCUAACUACGUG
This 497-nucleotide ribosomal RNA is filed under the name uncultured bacterium. Its description in RNAcentral is "partial 16S ribosomal RNA". It matches the Rfam family "Bacterial small subunit ribosomal RNA", at positions 28 to 507 of the family's 1533-position model. The record is from RNAcentral.